RNAcentral lists this ribosomal RNA (465 nucleotides) under uncultured bacterium. Its description in RNAcentral is "partial 16S ribosomal RNA". It matches the Rfam family "Bacterial small subunit ribosomal RNA", at positions 28 to 507 of the family's 1533-position model. The record is from RNAcentral.
GACGAACGCUGGCGGCGUGCUUAACACAUGCAAGUCGAACGGAAAGGCCCCUUUGGGGGUACUCGAGUGGCGAACGGGUGAGUAACACGUGAGUAACCUGCCCUUGACUUCGGGAUAACUUCAGGAAACUGGGGCUAAUACCGGAUAGGAAUCCUUGCUGCAUGGUGGGGGUUGGAAAGCUUCGGCGGUUUUGGAUGGACUCGCGGCUUAUCAGCUUGUUGGUGGGGUAGUGGCUUACCAAGGCUUUGACGGGUAGCCGGCCUGAGAGGGCGACCGGCCACAUUGGGACUGAGAUACGGCCCAGACUCCUACGGGAGGCAGCAGUGGGGAAUAUUGCACAAUGGGCGGAAGCCUGAUGCAGCAACGCUGCGUGCGGGAUGACGGCCUUCGGGUUGUAAACCGCUUUCAGCAGGGGCGAAGCUUGUGGUGACGGUACCUGCAGAAGAAGCACCGGCUAACUACGUG